UACGAAGGGGGCUAGCGUUGCUCGGAAUCACUGGGCGUAAAGGGUGCGUAGGCGGGUCUUUAAGUCAGGGGUGAAAUCCUGGAGCUCAACUGCGAGUCGGCCAUGGAUACUCCUCGGCUUGAGCACUGUAGAGGCAGGUGGAAUUCCGGGUGUAGCGGUGGAAUGCGUAGAGAUCCGGAAGAACACCGGUGGCGAAGGCGGCCUGCUGGGCAGUAGCUGACGCUGAGGCGCGACAGCGUGGGGAGCAAACAGG
RNAcentral lists this ribosomal RNA (253 nucleotides) under uncultured bacterium. Its description in RNAcentral is "partial 16S ribosomal RNA". It matches the Rfam family "Bacterial small subunit ribosomal RNA", at positions 524 to 776 of the family's 1533-position model. The record is from RNAcentral.